GUGAGUUGGUUAGAUAGCUUCGCCCUCCCGCCAAAAGGAGGGUGAGGAAGUUCCGUCCAUUGAGGGACCCGAAGACUAGGGAAGCCGAGAGGUUUGCCUUGAUAUCAGAAACGGUACCCGAACGCCCCAAUGGGAUGAUUGCAAAGGACGUCGGGCGGUCAGGGAUGAAACGGAUCAAGGCUUCCGGUGAGAUGCAAGCCGCAGGCGCUUAGACGAAUGCUAUCUUGAAAACAGAAGACGGGCUAAAACCGACACAC
RNAcentral lists this RNase P RNA (257 nucleotides) under Candidatus Micrarchaeota archaeon RBG_16_49_10. RNAcentral's name for it is "RNase P RNA component". It matches the Rfam family "Archaeal RNase P". Rfam says of the family: Ribonuclease P (RNase P) is a ubiquitous endoribonuclease, found in archaea, bacteria and eukarya as well as chloroplasts and mitochondria. Its best characterised activity is the generation of mature 5'-ends of tRNAs by cleaving the 5'-leader elements of precursor-tRNAs. Cellular RNase Ps are ribonucleoproteins. Lineage: Archaea; Nanobdellati; Microcaldota. The record is from RNAcentral.